RNAcentral lists this ribosomal RNA (822 nucleotides) under Teratosphaeria juvenalis. RNAcentral describes it as "eukaryotic LSU rRNA". It matches the Rfam family "Eukaryotic large subunit ribosomal RNA", at positions 71 to 925 of the family's 3401-position model. The record is from RNAcentral. Lineage: Eukaryota; Fungi; Ascomycota; Dothideomycetes; Mycosphaerellales; Teratosphaeriaceae.
GGGAUUGCCCUAGUAACGGCGAGUGAAGCGGCAACAGCUCAAAUUUGAAAUCUGGCGCGAGCCCGAGUUGUAAUUUGUAGAGGAUGCUUCGGGGCAGCGGCCGGUCUAAGUCUCUUGGAACGGGGCGUCAUAGAGGGUGAGAACCCCGUAUGCGACCGGUUGGCACCCGUCACGUAGCUCCUUCGACGAGUCGAGUUGUUUGGGAAUGCAGCUCUAAAUGGGAGGUAAAUUUCUUCUAAAGCUAAAUACCGGCCAGAGACCGAUAGCGCACAAGUAGAGUGAUCGAAAGAUGAAAAGCACUUUGGAAAGAGAGUUAAAAAGCACGUGAAAUUGUUGAAAGGGAAGCGCAUGCAACCAGACUUGUCGGCGGUGUUCCGCCGGUCUUCUGACCGGUCCAUUCGCCGCCGGCAGGCCAGCAUCAUCUGGGCGCGCCGGACAAAGGCGUGGGGAAUGUAGCUCCUCGGAGUGUUAUAGCCCUGCGCACAAUACGGCGCCGCCUGGGUGAGGUCCGCGCUUCGGCUGGGAUGCUGGCGUAAUGGUUGUCUGCGGCCCGUCUUGAAACACGGACCAAGGAGUCUAACAUCUAUGCGAGUGUUUGGGUGUCAAACCCUGACGCGUAAUGAAAGUGAACGGAGGUGGGAAGCGCGAGCUGCACCAUCGACCGAUCCUGAUGUCUUCGGAUGGAUUUGAGUAAGAGCAUAGCUGUUGGGACCCGAAAGAUGGUGAACUAUGCCUGGAUAGGGUGAAGCCAGAGGAAACUCUGGUGGAGGCUCGCAGCGGUUCUGACGUGCAAAUCGAUCGUCAAAUUUGGGUAUAGGGGCG